RNAcentral lists this ribosomal RNA (430 nucleotides) under Bacteroidota bacterium. Its description in RNAcentral is "Bacteroidetes bacterium partial 16S ribosomal RNA". It matches the Rfam family "Bacterial small subunit ribosomal RNA", at positions 355 to 776 of the family's 1533-position model. The record is from RNAcentral. Lineage: Bacteria; Pseudomonadati; Bacteroidota.
UAGGGAAUCUUCGGCAAUGGGGGGAACCCUGACCGAGCAACGCCGCGUGAGUGAAGAAGGUUUUCGGAUCGUAAAGCUCUGUUGUUAAGGAAGAACGAGUGUGAGAAUGGAAAGUUCAUACUGUGACGGUACUUAACCAGAAAGGGACGGCUAACUACGUGCCAGCAGCCGCGGUAAUACGUAGGUGGCAAGCGUUGUCCGGAUUUAUUGGGCGUAAAGCGAGCGCAGGCGGUCAAUUAAGUCUGAUGUGAAAGCCCCCGGCUCAACCGGGGAGGGUCAUUGGAAACUGGUUGACUUGAGUGCAGAAGAGGAGAGUGGAAUUCCAUGAGUAGCGGUGAAAUGCGUAGAUAUAUGGAGGAACACCAGUGGCGAAGGCGACUCUCUGGUCUGUAACUGACGCUGAGGCUCGAAAGCGUGGGUAGCAAACAGG